This is a non-coding RNA of Salmo salar (Atlantic salmon), 1331 nucleotides long. Lineage: Eukaryota; Metazoa; Chordata; Actinopteri; Salmoniformes; Salmonidae. The record is from RefSeq and is a predicted model, not a curated record.
GCACUUUUACAGCAAGCGUCAUACACGGCCCUGAGUCAGACAGCGGAGCAGCAGAGUGGAGCCCUACACAGCGCUGCAGACAGACAGGACCCAGCAGCACGUGGCUGCAGCCUAGCCUAUCUCACAGGAAGUCGCAGGCACAUGCACUUGUCACCACUUUCCAAAAAAAUAAUAAAUGAAAAAACACCGCCAAGCCUACGGGUGGUUUUGUCUUUGACGAGGAAGAUCUUUUGAAUGAAUGGCGCUGCCGGGUUCUAUUUCACACACAGAGUAGAGGCCAGCCGUACCCUGGCAGAGUCGAAGAGACUGGAAAGAAGAUGAGAAAGAACGAAGAACAGAGAAGAGCUGCAGUUCCAGUGCUGUUGUGUCCUCUCAGUGAGGCUGUGAAGGGCACAGUAACAGCAGGCGAGGUGGGGAAGGGGAACAAGCCCAGUAACAGUGAGGAAAUGAGAGUGACCCGAGCUGCUGAUCAGAACAGAGCCCCUCUGGCUGGCUCAGACCACCUGGGGAUUCCCUGGGACUAACCCACAGCAGAAGCAACAGCCAACUAAAGUGCUGAAACAUCAACACUCGGAUCGCCUGCAGCUACAGUGUGUGUGUGUGUGUGUGUGUGUGUGUGUGUGUGUAGUGUGCUAACUGUAGAGGGAAUAAAAACUGAGGCAGGAGUAUUGCUGACUUACUGGGUAUUUUGUCAUGAAGUAUUAUUUUACCACCCAUUAUCAGCCUUAGGAAUGUCUGGAUCCAAGUCAUUAUGUAAUGAACCAGAGAGCAACACAGGCAGAAUAAGUACAUGUAAUUUCUUUACACAAGGAUCCAUUUACUGGCAUUAUAUCUCCUGUUUAAGCAAGAAAUAAUCUUAAAAUGGCAGCUUCUAACUAACUAACCAGAAUAGUAAACACAGCCAGCAAAGUAAUUGGUCGACCACAUGCACAGUCUGUUCCACAAGGCAACCAAAAGGAAGGCACUGGCUGUUGUUGGCGACCCCUACCACCACCUACACACUCAGCUUGAGAGGCUUCCCUCUGGCCGGCGCUUCCGAAUGCCCCUGGCCAAGGCGUUUCAAACAUUCAUUAACUCCUUGUGGACUACUAAAGGCAAUAUAAAUUGUAUUGGUAUAUGUAUUUAUCUAUCCAGUGAAGUUGGGGCAGCAGUCAGUUGUGAGUGAAUGUUUAACAUCAAUGUCCUAUGUUUUUAGUGUAUGCAGUAUGACGGAGUGACUGAUUUAAAUGUGUGUGACGUGAGAAUGUAUUCGGAUGUGAUCCUUUUAAUGUGAGGUGAUGCCAAAGAAAAAUGUCCAUCCUGGAUGGACAAUAAAGUUGUAUUAUAUUCUA